Molecule: long non-coding RNA, 214 nt
Filed under: Physcomitrium patens
Lineage: Eukaryota; Viridiplantae; Streptophyta; Bryopsida; Funariales; Funariaceae
Description: long non-coding RNA (PPAT_LNC004128)
Source: RNAcentral
UUAAACUUUAACCAAAUUCUAAGUCAAAUCUUAAUAAAAUCUUAGUCAAAUCCUAAUCAAAUCCUAGUCAAGUUCAAAAUCAAAAUCCUAAUCUUAACUAAAUCCUAGACCGAAUCCUAAGCCCUAACCAAAAUGUAGACAAAUCCUAAAUCAAAUCCUAAUCAAACACUGGAUCUUAAAUAAACUCAUAACAAAUCCUAUAACAAAAUGGAAC